RNAcentral lists this ribosomal RNA (274 nucleotides) under uncultured bacterium. RNAcentral describes it as "partial 16S ribosomal RNA". It matches the Rfam family "Bacterial small subunit ribosomal RNA", at positions 523 to 796 of the family's 1533-position model. The record is from RNAcentral.
AUACGGAGGGUGCAAGCGUUAUUCGGAAUCACUGGGCGUAAAGGACGCGUAGGCGGGUUGGCAAGUCAGAUGUGAAAUCCUACAGCUUAACUGUAGAACUGCAUUUGAAACUGCUAACCUAGAGUAUGGGAGGGGGAGAUGGAAUUAGUGGUGUAGGGGUAAAAUCCGUAGAUAUCACUAGGAAUACCGAAAGCGAAGGCUAUCUCCUGGAACAUAACUGACGCUAAGGCGUGAAAGCGUGGGGAGCAAACAGGAUUAGAAACCCUAGUAGUCC